UCGAAGGUAGCAUAAUCAGUAGUCUUUUAAUUGAAGGCUGGAAUGAAUGGUUGGACGAAAUAUUAACUGUUUCAUAAAAAUUUAUAUUAGAAUUUUAUUUUUUAAUUAAAAAGUUAAAAUAUAUGUAAAAGACGAGAAGACCCUAUAAAUCUUUAUAUUUAAAUUAUUAAAAUUUUAUAGAUUUUUUUAAUUUUUAUAAUUAAUAAUAUUUUAUUGGGGUGAUAUUAAAAUUUAAAAAACUUUUAAUUAUUUAUAUCAUUUAUUUAUGAUUAAUUGAUCCAUUAUUAUUGAUUAAAAAAACAAGUUACUUUAGGGAUAACAGCGUAAUUUUUUUGGAGAGUUCUUAUCGAUAAAAAAGAUUGCGACCUCGAUGUUGGAUUAA
RNAcentral lists this ribosomal RNA (382 nucleotides) under Phyto pauciseta. RNAcentral's name for it is "partial 16S ribosomal RNA". Lineage: Eukaryota; Metazoa; Arthropoda; Insecta; Diptera; Rhinophoridae. The record is from RNAcentral.